CAAAAAGACUCUCGGCAACGGAUAUCUCGGCUCUUGCAUCGAUGAAGAACGUAGCGAAAUGCGAUACGUGGUGUGAAUUGCAGAAUCCCGUGAACCAUCGAGUUUUUGAACGCAAGUUGCGCCCAAAGCCUUUUGGUUGAGGGCACGUCUGCCUGGG
This 157-nucleotide ribosomal RNA is filed under the name Garcinia dumosa. Its description in RNAcentral is "5.8S ribosomal RNA". It matches the Rfam family "5.8S ribosomal RNA". Rfam says of the family: 5.8S ribosomal RNA (5.8S rRNA) is a component of the large subunit of the eukaryotic ribosome. It is transcribed by RNA polymerase I as part of the 45S precursor that also contains 18S and 28S rRNA. The record is from RNAcentral. Lineage: Eukaryota; Viridiplantae; Streptophyta; Magnoliopsida; Malpighiales; Clusiaceae.